This is a long non-coding RNA of Brienomyrus brachyistius, 958 nucleotides long. RefSeq lists it as uncharacterized. The transcript has 2 exons. NCBI's taxonomy places the organism in Eukaryota, Metazoa, Chordata, Actinopteri, Osteoglossiformes, Mormyridae. The record is from RefSeq and is a predicted model, not a curated record.
GUUCGUCGCCUUUCCAUGGGUCUCGGCAAAGGAGGAAGCCGCCUGACAAAUGAGACCCCACCCCUCUCAUAUGUCCAGGCCGACAUGCGGAAGCCCAAGGCGCUGUAACCGGAGCGACAUGGCACGUUCAUAUCAGGACAAUGAUCCUAAGCUCAAAACGAAGAACACAGGAGUGACUGAAGGACUACUCUCUGAAUGUCCUUGAGUGGCCCAGCCAGAGCCCAGACUUGAACGCAAGUGAACGUCUCCGGAGAGACCUGAAAGGAGCUGUCCACUGACAGGUACCACACAGCCAGACAGCUUGAGAAGCUCUGCUGAAAGAAUAGCAGGAAUUCCCCAAAUAGAGUUCGUCACGUAGGGCUGGGGAAUUAAUCGAAAUUAAUCAAAACUGACAUUCAGAACCUCUAAUCAACGCAAUCUUGCCCAUGUUGGUUACUCCGGCUUUUUUAUAAUUCUGUUAAUACUUUCCCCAGUGUGUGUGCAUACUGUCCCCUUACAAACAUCCUACCACAUGUGACGUCACAUGACUCCGCCCCGUCCAAUCAGCGACAGGGAAGCAGCACGGAGAAGUCAGGAGCCCACAGAACAGCUGGAGUAUGGAGCCUCAGAAGGGACAUGCAGGGGAAAAAGCAUGCAGAUCUUACAAGAAAUACACAAAUGUCAAUUAUGCCUGAGACAUAAAAAGAGAGAAAAUCAGUUAUAAUGAUUAUAAUGAGUUAUAAUGAUUAUCCGCUUAUAGUGAUGAAAUUCACCCAGACAGGCAUGAUCACUAUAAACGGUUUAUUUCGUUUGCAAGAAAUGAAAAAAAAAAAUCUACUUUUUAGGGGAACUUGCUUUUUACAUUAAAACUAAAAUGUGGCCUUUUUUAUGACGUUUUCAUUUGUGCUUUGAUUUCAGUUGCUUGAAAUGAAUAAAUAAAUGUGAUAAAUGCUUCAUCUGUGGGUGAUUCCUUCAAUUA